Molecule: ribosomal RNA, 253 nt
Filed under: uncultured bacterium
Lineage: Bacteria
Description: partial 16S ribosomal RNA
Rfam family: Bacterial small subunit ribosomal RNA
Source: RNAcentral
UACAGAGGAGCCAAGCGUUGUCCGGAUUGACUGGGCGUAAAGCGCACGCAGGCGGACGCGCGCGUGGGGUGUGAAAUCUGGCCGCUUAACGGCCAGGCGCCAUCCCAUACGGCGGGUCUGGAGCCGUGCAGAGGUCGGUGGAAUUGCCGGUGUAGUGGUGAAAUUCGUAGAUAUUAGGAAGAACACCAGUGGCGAAGGCGGCUCACUGGCCCGGUACUGACGCUGAGGCGCGAAAGCGUGGGGAGCAAACAGG